GGAUGGUGAUGAGGGAUUGAAGAUUGUAAGCCAUUUUUCAGAUCUCUGCUCACUCGAAAAAUGACAGUAUUACAAUUAAUGAUUCCAUGUGCCCUCUUUUGAAAAGUGAAGAUGACUGUUAACUGCACAGCUCUAACUCAAGUGGGACACACAAACUUUUAUUUUGGACAGAUAUGAUAUGAAACGAAGGCGUUUCAGUCGGUUUGCAAUCCAAAAGCUUAAUUUA
Molecule: long non-coding RNA, 226 nt
Filed under: Salvia miltiorrhiza (redroot sage)
Lineage: Eukaryota; Viridiplantae; Streptophyta; Magnoliopsida; Lamiales; Lamiaceae
Description: long non-coding RNA (SMIL_LNC009298)
Source: RNAcentral